RNAcentral lists this ribosomal RNA (617 nucleotides) under Lactococcus lactis. RNAcentral describes it as "bacterial SSU rRNA". It matches the Rfam family "Bacterial small subunit ribosomal RNA", at positions 74 to 682 of the family's 1533-position model. The record is from RNAcentral. Lineage: Bacteria; Bacillati; Bacillota; Bacilli; Lactobacillales; Streptococcaceae.
CUUGUACCGACUGGAUGAGCAGCGAACGGGUGAGUAACGCGUGGGGAAUCUGCCUUUGAGCGGGGGACAACAUUUGGAAACGAAUGCUAAUACCGCAUAAAAACUUUAAACACAAGUUUUAAGUUUGAAAGAUGCAAUUGCAUCACUCAAAGAUGAUCCCGCGUUGUAUUAGCUAGUUGGUGAGGUAAAGGCUCACCAAGGCGAUGAUACAUAGCCGACCUGAGAGGGUGAUCGGCCACAUUGGGACUGAGACACGGCCCAAACUCCUACGGGAGGCAGCAGUAGGGAAUCUUCGGCAAUGGACGAAAGUCUGACCGAGCAACGCCGCGUGAGUGAAGAAGGUUUUCGGAUCGUAAAACUCUGUUGGUAGAGAAGAACGUUGGUGAGAGUGGAAAGCUCAUCAAGUGACGGUAACUACCCAGAAAGGGACGGCUAACUACGUGCCAGCAGCCGCGGUAAUACGUAGGUCCCGAGCGUUGUCCGGAUUUAUUGGGCGUAAAGCGAGCGCAGGUGGUUUAUUAAGUCUGGUGUAAAAGGCAGUGGCUCAACCAUUGUAUGCAUUGGAAACUGGUAGACUUGAGUGCAGGAGAGGAGAGUGGAAUUCCAUGGGUUGGCGG